RNAcentral lists this long non-coding RNA (384 nucleotides) under Setaria viridis. RNAcentral describes it as "long non-coding RNA (SVIR_LNC009967)". Lineage: Eukaryota; Viridiplantae; Streptophyta; Magnoliopsida; Poales; Poaceae. The record is from RNAcentral.
GCCGUGGCUGCAAGGAAUCGACCGGAGACUCGCUCACGGCGGUGGAUUUCGCCGGCAAAGUUUGAGCGUGGCGAGGUGCUGCGAGAGUGGGGAGGGGAGUACGGUGGGGCGGGCGAGCUAUUUAUAGCCGCGACGAGCUCGUGGGGCUGGCCGGUGGGUCGGAGGGGCGUUGGUACGUUGCUGCGGGGUGGACCGGCCACGGCGGGCACCAUUGGCGGAUAGGGGAGGCAACUUGGCGGGCGUGCUUGCAGGCGGGCGCCGCAGGCGAAGCAGGCGUGCACGGGUGAACGGCUCCAUCAGGGCGCUGCAGGCGAGGCCGAGGAGCUGUGGCGUCUUGUCUCGGGCGUGCGUUGGCGGGCACGGCGGCGGUGGCGUGCCAGAGCG